Molecule: transfer RNA, 72 nt
Filed under: Blattella germanica (German cockroach)
Lineage: Eukaryota; Metazoa; Arthropoda; Insecta; Blattodea; Blattellidae
Description: tRNA-Pro (CGG) (tRNA-Pro-CGG-12-1)
Rfam family: tRNA
About the family: Transfer RNA (tRNA) molecules are approximately 80 nucleotides in length. Their secondary structure includes four short double-helical elements and three loops (D, anti-codon, and T loops).
Source: RNAcentral
GGCUCAGUGGUCUAGAGGUAUGAUUUCUGCUUCGGGUGCAGGAGGUCCCGGGUUCAAUUCCCGGCUGAGCCC